This is a non-coding RNA of Microcebus murinus (gray mouse lemur), 2405 nucleotides long. NCBI's taxonomy places the organism in Eukaryota, Metazoa, Chordata, Mammalia, Primates, Cheirogaleidae. The record is from RefSeq and is a predicted model, not a curated record.
CGCCGCAAGCUCUCGACGUUUGUCCGUUCACUGUCCUGUUAGUAGGUAACAUUUUUCUGGGAGUCAGGUGUGCAGAAGUCUACCCGCAAGCCAAAGCUUUUACAGAGAUCAGUUACCUUUCCCAUGGCUUAUUCAGAGAUGACAGGGACAACGAAUCUCAAGAGCCGCAAUGCCCAUCACUAGAACCCACAGAUGCUCCACACGCGUGCGUCAUGUAACCAGUGUGCCGUGAGCGUCACGUGACCACUUUCAUCCUUAUGAGACGGGUGUGGAGUGUGUACACAUCUUUCUUCUCCACCGACAGGCAGGGGAACUGCAGCCGUGCUUGUCCCCUCUGCCCCCGGGCAGGACAACCGGGCUCCCCCGCCAGGCAGGGGCGGGGCUCAGACCAGCUCUCCCGCCUUCCUCGCCCGCAGGCAUGCAGAUUUCAAGUGAAUUUGUUUAGUCCUGUUCUGGAAGAUGAUGCAACAUGACUAGAAAGGAAGUGGGCAGCUGACUUGCUGCCACGAGGCAACUCCAGCAAAGGCGCAGUCACCAUCCCUGCUUCACAGCCGAACAAAUGACCUAAGGUGCCUGAGGUCACACAGCUCGCGAGGGUCCCCAGCGUCCACCUGCAGAGCCCGGACUCCCACCCCCGCAGCGGCAAUGAGGACGCACACCCCGUCCCCGGAGAUCACUUUUAGUGGAGAGGGGACAACGGCCCAGGCUGUGGGCGAGGAGGGGCCCGGCGCCUGCCUUGACGUUGCAGAACAAAGUGCUGGGAGAAAGGCUCGGGUCACCUGGGGUGAGCAGUCACACUCACACCACAGAGGUGCAAAGGCUGGUGGCGCAAGGUGUGGGCGGAAGGGCUUCGGGCGAGGAGUGUGUGACUAAACCCUCUGCCAUCCUGGGUUGGGGCCCAGGCCCAGGAGAAAAGCUACAAGGGACAAUAUUGGGACAGCUGACCAAAUUCGUAUGUGGACUGUGGGCUGGUUGCUUCGAAAACAACUCUCACGGCCGAGUCACUGUCCAAACAAGGAAGGGCUGGGUGACUAAGCCUCCCUAUGUCAUCUUCUGGAGCAAGGUCACUGUAGCCGAACGCCUCGCAACCCCCCCAGGUCCCAUCUACUUAAUUCCCUCUCUUGAGACUUCAUCUUUGAGCUCGCCUGGGAGAGGAUGAUGUAAUGCCCAACAAAUGCCAGAGGAGCCUCUUGGAGCCGCGACACCAAACAUGGGCAGGACACGGAGGCCACGUUUGCUUAGGCAAACACUCAGAUACCUGUCAUUGUUUAAGUUUUCUUCUGAGACGCGCGGGCUCCUGCACAGGUUUCGUAGAGGUUUUGAUCCAUCCCGUCGAUCCAUUUGAAGUCUUACACUUCAAAGCCCCGUGCGAGCCCACACAAGACGUGCACGCACGCUGGCGUCCCCAUGCCGCCCGCCGGGGGGUGGCUCUAAAACAUUCAUAUCCUCCCAGAACUGCAGUAACACGAGCAAGGACCACUUGCUGCGAGCAGACUUUUUCUUAACUCCAAUGUAAACUUCCUGUUGCGAUUUUGACCAGUUUCCCCUCGUCCAGAGCUCAGGGGAGCCGGUGAACGGUUCAUCGUGACCCCCCGCAGGACGCUUUGUCCUUUCCAUGUGAGCACAGCGUGCUGACCCUUCCACGGGCCAUCCGCUCCGAGCUGUUUGUCCAGGUGUGACGCAUCUUUCUUGCUGUUUCACGGAUUCUUCUCUGGUCUCGUCUGAAACCAGGGCAUCUGUAGGCUAUUCACGGAUCCAGUCGAGAGAAAAGUGUCUUGGCCAUCGAGGGCUGUUCGAACUGUGAUUUUAGGCUCACCGGACACUGUACUGCAAACACCUGACUUAAGGAGCCUCGUGUUUCACCCUUCACAGGACUCGAUAGUCACGUAAGAGGAAAAAAAAAUCUCAAAAGUUUUCGGAUCCAGACUUCUCCCACGUGGGCUCCCGUGGAAGCCCAAACAUCCCCGGUGUGGUCUAUAUGGGCACAGGUGCAAGGCCACCUCUGGAAUUAAAUCCACCUAUUUCCCUCCCUCGUCCUGCUGACUUUCUGCUGAAGCACCCAGCAAAUGGCACUGGGACCAUUCUGGGCUGCUCUAACCCCCACCCAGUUCCGGAGACCCCUGGAACGGAGGCUGUGCAAGGUGCGGGUCACUGGAGGAGAAGGGCCCCAGCAGGGAGUCAGGUGGGGACAUGGCAGAUGGCAGACAGGGUCCCUGUGGCUGACUGGAAACAGGUGGGUCCCGGGCUGUUUCAGGUUUCUGGGAGUAAUUGCUCCCAUCUUUGCACCUCCUCUCCUUCUCCCAUGGUUUGUCUGGCCUGCCAAAGAAAAAUUAAAAUGCAACGUUGAACUACAUUUAAAAUGCUCCUCCCUCUCUAGCUUUUUUAAAAAAUGACUUUUCUUUUUC